Long non-coding RNA from Drosophila sechellia, 760 nucleotides. RefSeq lists it as uncharacterized. The record is from RefSeq and is a predicted model, not a curated record. NCBI's taxonomy places the organism in Eukaryota, Metazoa, Arthropoda, Insecta, Diptera, Drosophilidae. The transcript is spliced from 4 exons.
UGAAAAGCGUAAACGCGAAGGACGGUCCUACUGGCCCCUCUGAGGUCUUACUUGGACCCCACCCCAACUGCCACCACAGCAACGGACGAGCACCACCGUGCAGCAGGGAGAUGUCAUCAGGCAGAGCCCGCCAGACACCAGCGUCGAUGCUAGGCUGAUUGCCGCUCUUCGACAAGUCAGUUUCUGUGCCGGCCCAUAUGGGCCAGCGACAACAGGCGUGGGUUGAGGUGGCGUUGGCGUGUGGGAAGUCACCUAACUUCAGCCUGUAAGAAGCGGUGGUCUAAUCUGCGUCACAAAUACGUACGGGAGCUGGCCAAGGGAGACUCCGUUUGGCACAGGAUGGUGGAGAUGCGGUUUUUGUUCCGCACCUGCGCAACAGGCAACGCGCGAGCUACCCAGUGGAGAAUGAGGUGCAUGAGUUGACUGCUGAGUUUGGAGAGGUAAGCCUGGUGCCCCCAGGCAGCCCAAUAAACCGAGCGACUGACGCGAAUCCCCGCCAGUGGACACAGACCCUAUCAGCCCCACUAUGUCGUUCCAGGAAUGGCUGAAGGCGACUUUUCGCCUCAUGCAGAGCGUGGUGGAUAGGGAAGAGUUGGAUUCAUCCUUCCUGAGCUCGGAUAGGAGCUCAAAUCAAGAACAGCAGCAGCAACAACAACAACAGCAAGAAGGCAACGAAAUUGCAUAAUUAUGUAAUAUAUAUCGGUAUAUUGGGCCCCAAUAAUUGGGUCAUAAAAUAAUAAAAAAAAAUUUAAUUUUUAAA